Molecule: long non-coding RNA, 2852 nt
Organism: Quercus lobata
Lineage: Eukaryota; Viridiplantae; Streptophyta; Magnoliopsida; Fagales; Fagaceae
Exons: 3
Source: RefSeq, a predicted model, not a curated record
CGCAUAAAUAGAAAUAGAGAGGCGACGAAAUGCAGAGAGGCGGCGAGGACACACAGACAGAAGCAGAGAAAGACAAUGAAAUAGAGAGAGGAUGAGGCUGCGACACGGAGAAAUAAACAGAGAAAGAGGCAGAACGGUGAACACCGCAUCGAUUGGGCACAAGAAAUAGAGAGAUAAAUCGUGUUUUUAAACUUUCUGAUUUCAUACAGAGACGUUUUUCAUUCUAUUUUUUCCCCGAAAUAAGGAGGAAGGAAGAUGAAGCGGCCUUCAGCAUAAGCACGAAAAACCCAUUUCCCAAGAACUCUCGAUAUCAGACCAUUCUUUCUCGAAACUAGAGAGCAAACGUCAGAGAGAAAUCCAGUCAGAAAUAGAAAGUGGAAAGCGGAAAAAACUAAGAAGAUAGUCAAUGCCUCUACCUCCAUCAGAUCCGUACUCUCCACUGGUAUGGUUUCUGUUUUUUGGUUCUUUAAAUUUGGGGUCAAAUAUGCUUUAGGUUUGGGUAUUUUCGUUAGAUUGGAUUGAAUUCAGGUUUUGACUUAGAUUCAAUUUUGAGUAAGGAAUUUGGUUUAUAAUGUUUUUAAUAUCAGUUAUCUAUCUUAGAUUUGGUUUUUUGGGAUAUUUGGGUUCAAUUUAUUUUGGGUGUAUGUCUUUGGUCUUCAGAUCUUCAUGGAUCAAUUUGGUGCUGUACCUCAACAAAAAAGUUAUCAUCCUCUAUUUCCAUUCGUUCACAUGUUCUGCAUAACGUUGUUAAUUUUCCUGUUUCAGAUAUUCUUUCUGUGUACUUUACCAAAUUCAGCCCACUUUCUUUCCAUUUGCAUGUUCCUUUCUAGAAAAUCGAAAUUCGCAAACCAAUUUUGCCUCUUCAAAAUUUCCAAAAAUGCAAAUUUUUAUUUUUUAUUUUUUAUUUUAUUUUAUUUUAUUUUUUUUUUAUAUCUUUCAUUGAACAAAUAUUGAUCCUUGGCUUACCAUAGAAAAAAAAGGUUAUUAUGCCUUCUAGAAUAAUUGCUAGAGAGAGAGGGUCACUGAGUUAUUUGGCUUAGUAGAGAGAAAAAUCUGUAGACCACUGUCAUUGUCAGGCCAUUCUCCCGCCACUGUACGACUUAAAAAAUUCAAUGAUGGGGUUAUUCGACAAUGAAUUGGGCCACAAUAGAUUUUAUUGGUAAGAUCAUAUACAUAUUCAAAUCCUGCAAUAUGUGUUUAGUUGUUUGCUGUUGUACCUAUGAUGUUACUAAAUUGGACCCAAUUUGAAUUUUUGGGUUUCUUUGACUGCAGAUAAAAAUUUGCACUGUUCUACAUAUUUGUUUUUAUUGCAUUCCACAUGUUCGAUGAAAUCCCUCUUAGACUAAAUUUUAUAAACAAUUAUUCUUUUUUCCUUCUAUAAUGAUUUUAAUCAGAUAAGAAUGAUCUUAUUUUGUAGUUAAUAUUUUCAAUUGUAGAUUAGGAGCUGCAUACUAAAGAAUUAUGUUCUUCCAUCCUUUAUAAAGACAAACCAUGUCAUUGUUUAUGACAUUAGUAAUAAAACCAAUCGAUUGAUAUUGAUAUUAAUUCAAAUGUUAUAAAUACUGCCUUACCUUAUGCCAAUAGUAAGCUAGAAGUUCAGUUGUUAUUUUUUUGUAAAUUCUUGCAAUCAUGGACCAACAAAAUUAGUGAUCAGCUAUUUGCUCCAAAGUUAACAUUGAUAGUAUUAUUGAUGUGUAGGUGUAGAAAAAAGUUUUAAACACCCAAAAGUAGAUAUGGUAGGCAAGAUUACCAUCAUGCAAUUGUUGUUGAAAAGCUGCCAAACUUAAAUCCCUUUGGCUAAGAAAGCUGAGAGUUAUGACACAAACAUGAGUUAUGAAAACAAGUUUGAGUGAUUGCUUACAUGUGAAGAGUAUUAAAAUAAAACAAUGCUUGAGUGGGUUACCUAAGACUAGAUCUCAGAAUUUAGUAAAAAAAAGAGUGCUAAUUUUGAAAAAAAAUUGAGCAUAUGAGAAAAAAUGAUGAGGUGUUUGGCUCAGAUAUUGUGGCUGUGAUUUACUUAUUUGUUCACAGUCAAGAUUGUCCAAUAUAUUUUAGAAGAAAGAAAGUAUAGAAAAGACAAAGACAGGCUGAAUGUCAAAGGGUUCAAGUGAGGUUUGACAUGCAUUGUAAAACAGGUGGUGAAGAUUAGCUCUUUUUUGUAGGAUUUCUAGAUGUUUCUUGCAUGUUUAUAAAGCUUGCCAAGGUGGUGAAGGAAAAUUUUUAAUUAUUCAAGUAGGAAGUAAUUUUUGCUAUAAAUGGGUGUUAAUUUUGAAUGGAGUUUCAAUGUAAAGAAGACAUGUCUGUAGUUGGGUAUGAAAAUAAUGAUGAUGGUGGUGGCAACAAUGUUCCCUCAUCAAGUAGUUUUUUCUUCUUAUUAUUGCAAUUUUUUACUGAAAGCACUGUUUUUCACCCUCAAAAAAAUAUGAUUGUGAUUUUUUUUUUCCCAGCUAGCCUGGAUUCCUUAUGUUAAUACUUACAUAUCAUUCAUGUUGGGCUGGCUGUGUUUGGUUUCUGAAAUAUUGGAGUAAUGUAAUGUACUAUUGGAUUGGUUUUGAUUAAGGGAUUUGGGUUAGAAUUCAUUUUGUUUUGGGUUAUUAACCAAAUCCAAGUUGGUUUAGGUUGUAAUGAAACUGUAAGUGGUAUGUCAGUAUAGACUUUUUUAAUAUUAAAUAAUCACAUAAGAACUUUUGCGGUGGAAUAUAGACUCAACAAGUCUAUGUGCUUAGUGCUUUGUACCUUAAGUGACCAAAUAGUGAUCACCUUAAUUUUUACUAAAUAAUUAAGUAUAAUCCUCACAUGAAGCUUUUGUGUGUGUGUGUGUGUUUCUUUUGGGCAAUAAAAUAUAUUUUACU